RNAcentral lists this ribosomal RNA (655 nucleotides) under Ancyrona sp. G0308. RNAcentral describes it as "partial 28S large subunit ribosomal RNA". It matches the Rfam family "Eukaryotic large subunit ribosomal RNA", at positions 656 to 1270 of the family's 3401-position model. Lineage: Eukaryota; Metazoa; Arthropoda; Insecta; Coleoptera; Lophocateridae. The record is from RNAcentral.
GAAACACGGACCAAGGAGUCUAGCAUGUACGCGAGUCAUUGGGACAUAACUAAACCUAAAGGCGCAAUGAAAGUAAAGGUCCGCCUCGCGCGGACUGAGGGAAGAUGGGCGGUCCGUGUGGCCGCCUCGCACUCCCGGGGCGUCUCGUUCUCAUUGCGAGAAGAGGCGCACCAAGAGCGUACACGCUGGGACCCGAAAGAUGGUGAACUAUGCCUGGUCAGGACGAAGUCAGGGGAAACCCUGAUGGAGGUCCGUAGCGAUUCUGACGUGCAAAUCGAUCGUCGGAACUGGGUAUAGGGGCGAAAGACUAAUCGAACCAUCUAGUAGCUGGUUCCCUCCGAAGUUUCCCUCAGGAUAGCUGGCGCUCGUUGCGCACGAGUCUCAUCCGGUAAAGCGAAUGAUUAGAGGCAUUGGGGUCGAAACGGCCUCAACCUAUUCUCAAACUUUAAAUGGGUGAGAUCUUCGGCUUGCUCGAACUAUUGAAGCCGUAAGAGACGGAUCAGAGUGCCAAGUGGGCCAUUUUUGGUAAGCAGAACUGGCGCUGUGGGAUGAACCAAACGCCGAGUUAAAGCGCCUAAAUCGACGCUUAUGGGAUACCAUGAAAGGCGUUGGUAACUUAAGACAGCAGGACGGUGGCCAUGGAAGUCGGAAUCCG